GAUGAACGCUGGCGGCGUGCCUAAUACAUGCAAGUCGAACGAACAGACGAGGACCUUGCUCUUCUGACGUUAGCGGCGGACGGGUGAGUAACAUGUGGAUAACCUACCUAUAAGACGGGGAUAACUCCGGAACACCGGUGCUACUACCGAAUAAUAUCUUGAACCGCAGGGUUCAAUACUGAAAGACGGCUUUGGUGUUACUUAUAGAUGGAUCCGCUCCGAAUUGGCUGGUUGGUAGGGUAACGGCUUGCCAAGGGACCGAUGGGUAGCCGACCUGAGGGAGGAACAGGCCAAACGGGACUGAGACACCGGCCAGACUCCUAAGGGAGGGAAGAGUGGGGAAUUUUGGACAAUGGGGGGAAACCUGAACGAGGCAUGGCGGGUGGGUGAAGGAGGCCCUCCGGUUCGAAAACCCUUUUUAUUGGAAAGAAACAAAUGUGUAUAUUACAGUGCGGGUCUGAAGGUAACGGAAGAAGAAGGACCGGCUAACUUCGGG
RNAcentral lists this ribosomal RNA (496 nucleotides) under uncultured bacterium. RNAcentral's name for it is "partial 16S ribosomal RNA". It matches the Rfam family "Bacterial small subunit ribosomal RNA", at positions 28 to 507 of the family's 1533-position model. The record is from RNAcentral.